GGAGGUGUAGCUCAGUGCUAGAGCAUGUGCUUGGUAUGCACAAGGCCUUGAGUUUAAUCUCCAAUUACCCCCC
Molecule: transfer RNA, 73 nt
Filed under: Neotoma lepida (desert woodrat)
Lineage: Eukaryota; Metazoa; Chordata; Mammalia; Rodentia; Cricetidae
Rfam family: tRNA
About the family: Transfer RNA (tRNA) molecules are approximately 80 nucleotides in length.
Source: Rfam by way of RNAcentral